Molecule: transfer RNA, 68 nt
Filed under: Clostera anachoreta
Lineage: Eukaryota; Metazoa; Arthropoda; Insecta; Lepidoptera; Notodontidae
Description: tRNA-Ala
Rfam family: tRNA
About the family: Transfer RNA (tRNA) molecules are approximately 80 nucleotides in length. Their secondary structure includes four short double-helical elements and three loops (D, anti-codon, and T loops).
Source: RNAcentral
AGGAUUAUAGUUUAUUUAAAACAUUUGGUUUGCAAUCAAAUAAUAUUGGAAUUAACCAAUUUAUCUUA